Molecule: ribosomal RNA, 337 nt
Filed under: Cylindrospermopsis raciborskii C03
Lineage: Bacteria; Bacillati; Cyanobacteriota; Cyanophyceae; Nostocales; Aphanizomenonaceae
Description: bacterial LSU rRNA
Rfam family: Bacterial large subunit ribosomal RNA
Source: RNAcentral
GAAUGUCGGCUUGAGUAGCGCAAACAUUGGUGAGAAUCCAAUGCCCCGAAACCCUAAGGGUUCCAGAGGCAGGUUCGUCCACUCUGGGUUAGUCGGGACCUAAGGCGAGGUCGAAAGGCGUAGUCGAUGGAGACCGGGUCAACAAUCCCGGACUACAAUAUGGGAGCAAAACUAGGGACGCAUGAAAGAUAGCCACGCCCUGAAUGGAUUGGGAAGACCGUUACGACGGUCGAGUGGUGAAGGAAAGUGCCAAGAAAAGCUAGGGUUGUGAUGAACAUAUAGUACCCGUACCCGAAACCGACACAGGUAGGGAGGUUGAGAAUACCAAGGGGCGCGA